Molecule: transfer RNA, 80 nt
Filed under: Perca flavescens (yellow perch)
Lineage: Eukaryota; Metazoa; Chordata; Actinopteri; Perciformes; Percidae
Rfam family: tRNA
About the family: Transfer RNA (tRNA) molecules are approximately 80 nucleotides in length.
Source: Rfam by way of RNAcentral
CCUUUGGUAGCUCAGUUGGUAGAGCGGAGGACUUGUAGUGGUUAUGUCAGAAAUUGCUGGUUCAAAUCCAGCUUGAAGGA